RNAcentral lists this RNase P RNA (377 nucleotides) under uncultured Succinivibrio sp. RNAcentral's name for it is "Bacterial RNase P class A". It matches the Rfam family "Bacterial RNase P class A". Rfam says of the family: Ribonuclease P (RNase P) is a ubiquitous endoribonuclease, found in archaea, bacteria and eukarya as well as chloroplasts and mitochondria. The record is from RNAcentral. Lineage: Bacteria; Pseudomonadati; Pseudomonadota; Gammaproteobacteria; Aeromonadales; Succinivibrionaceae.
AGUCGGCCGGGCAAUCGCUGCCGUGCACGCGUGUCUUAGACAUACGGUCACUGGGGGAGGAAAGUCCGAGCUCCGCAGGACAGGGUGCCAGGUAACGCCUGGAGAGCGCAAGCUCAUGACUAGUGCAACAGAGAGCAGACCGCCUAAGUGUGAAAACACUGGUAAGGGUGAAAGGGUGCGGUAAGAGCGCACCGCUUUCUUAGUAAUAAGAAAGGCAUGGUAAACUCCACCCGGAGCAAGAUCGAAUAGGUCUCCUUAUGAUGUGGUCCGCAUCGGAGACGGGUUGAUUGCUGGAACCGGUGAGUGAUUGCCGGUCUAGAGGAAUGAUUGCCACUGCAAUAAAAGCAGUACAGAACUCGGCUUACAGGCCGACUCAU